GGAGCGGUGUCCGAGCGGCUUAAGGAGCACGAUUGGAAAUCGUGUGGGCGAAAGCCCGCGAGGGUUCGAAUCCCUCCCGCUCCG
This 84-nucleotide transfer RNA is filed under the name Gemmatimonadaceae bacterium. Its description in RNAcentral is "tRNA-Ser". It matches the Rfam family "tRNA". Rfam says of the family: Transfer RNA (tRNA) molecules are approximately 80 nucleotides in length. Their secondary structure includes four short double-helical elements and three loops (D, anti-codon, and T loops). Further hydrogen bonds mediate the characteristic L-shaped molecular structure. tRNAs have two regions of fundamental functional importance: the anti-codon, which is responsible for specific mRNA codon recognition, and the 3' end, to which the tRNAs corresponding amino acid is attached (by aminoacyl-tRNA synthetases). tRNAs cope with the degeneracy of the genetic code in two manners: having more than one tRNA (with a specific anti-codon) for a particular amino acid; and 'wobble' base-pairing, i.e. permitting non-standard base-pairing at the 3rd anti-codon position. Lineage: Bacteria; Pseudomonadati; Gemmatimonadota; Gemmatimonadia; Gemmatimonadales; Gemmatimonadaceae. RNAcentral also lists the same sequence under 2 other names. The record is from RNAcentral.